RNAcentral lists this long non-coding RNA (746 nucleotides) under Takifugu rubripes (torafugu). RNAcentral describes it as "lncRNA (ENSTRUG00000027259.1)". Lineage: Eukaryota; Metazoa; Chordata; Actinopteri; Tetraodontiformes; Tetraodontidae. The record is from RNAcentral.
CGCCAGAGGAGCUAAUCAGCAAGAACUUCGCGUCAUUUUUCCAAAAUAAAACCAGUUUGUUUUUGGAGACGCUAAAUACUCGAAAACAGGCCAAAGGGGGAGAUUCGGUCCGGUUUAGAACAGGAGUCGCCGCACUUCCCGGGACAUGACGUCAGAGCUGCGCCAGGUAAACGGCACACCUGUACCUGCGCCGUCCUGACGCACCGCGGUCUCACGCACGGACGGACAGACGGACGGAAGUGGGGAUCAAAGAUGAGACGCAGUUAACGAGCUCCUGAAGAUCCUGAAGGUCCUGAAGAUCCUGAAGAUGAGGCGCGAAGGUGGACUCGUGGGCUGAACCUAUUCUCGAGGGAACACCACGUUAGACUGCUGACAUGUGCAACAGGACCGAGGAACCCUUUGAGCUUUGGAGCAGACGGAAGGAUGGAAGCAGUGACCCUCUCCUGCCUUCACUGCCAGCACAGAGGACAUUUGAUUACGUCCUGGUGGCCCACAAGCAGGAGGAUGAAACGGACCAGAAGGCUCUGAGACAGACGGCCUUCAUUCAACAACUGGAGAAAAAAACUUCAAAGUCUCGGUGCGGCUGAACUGUCCAGAUCUCCAACACUGAACAUGUGACUGAAACACGCGCGCUCCCAACCCCCCCUCGUAGAAAAUCGUCCAUGAUGACAAAGUAUUCUAUGGUCUUCGUGCCCCAUCUGAGAUAUUUGAAGAGUACCAGUAUCUGCUCAAAGUUUCUGACCUGC